GACGGGGGAUGCGAGCGUUAUCCGGAAUGAUUGGGCGUAAAGGGUCCGCAGGUGGCCCGGUCAGUCCGCUGUCAAAGCCUGGGGCUCAACCCUGGAGAGGCGGCGGGGACCACCGGGCUUGAGUCCGGUAGGGGCAGAGGGAAUUCCAGGUGUAGCGGUGAAAUGCGUAGAUAUCAGGAGGAACACCGGUGGCGAAGGCGGGUCUCUGGGCAGUAACUGACGCUGAGGAGCGAAAGCGUGGGGAGCGAACAGG
Molecule: ribosomal RNA, 253 nt
Filed under: uncultured bacterium
Lineage: Bacteria
Description: partial 16S ribosomal RNA
Rfam family: Bacterial small subunit ribosomal RNA
Source: RNAcentral